AUGAUCUGCUUCAAUUGCAGUUGGCCUGGUCACUAUGUGGGGAAUUGUGUGGAGCCAAAAAUGUGUUUUAUUUGCGCUGGGAACCAUAAUGUUAACAACUGCGCUGCUUGGGCAAAACCACAGCCUGCUGCCACUUAUUUUGGUAGUGCUGCUUCUGGGCUGGGGUUUUAUCACAUUGAAGUUCCUGUGGCAGCCGAGUCUAGUUGGCUGAAUUACAAAAAUUGUGCUCUUCUCAAGGUGGUCAAAGGCGAGGUUCCACCUUGGAAGAAUGUGGAUGACCUAAUUGAAUUCCCUCCUUUUGAGCUGCCUAUUGCUCGAGUAUUUGUUAAGAUCUGUGAAUGGGAAGGUAUGUUGGAUGAGUUUGGGGCACUUACUGAAGCCUGGGUGCAGAUUGAUGGUAUUCCACCUAAGUGGUGUGCAUGGAAAGUAUUUGCCCAUAUUACUGCUUGCUUUGGUAUCCUUGUGGAUGUGGACUGGAAUGGUUUUUUCAACAGCUUUUAUGAAAAAAUUCGAGUCAAGGUUGCCUGCAGAGAUCCAAGGAAAAUUCCUUUUGGGAGAUUGGUGGAGAUGAAAAAGAAACUGUACCUGCUGUUUUUACAGUAG
This 603-nucleotide ribosomal RNA is filed under the name Triticum aestivum (bread wheat). RNAcentral describes it as "partial small subunit ribosomal RNA". Lineage: Eukaryota; Viridiplantae; Streptophyta; Magnoliopsida; Poales; Poaceae. The record is from RNAcentral.